UACGUAGGGGGCAAGCGUUAUCCGGAUUUACUGGGUGUAAAGGGAGCGUAGACGGCGCAGCAAGUCUGGAGUGAAAGCCCGGGGCUCAACCGCGGGACUGCUUUGGAAACUGCGGCGCUGGAGUGCAGGAGGGGUGGGCGGAAUUCCUAGUGUAGCGGUGAAAUGCGUAGAUAUUAGGAGGAACACCGGUGGCGAAGGCGGCCCACUGGACUGUAACUGACGUUGAGGCUCGAAAGCGUGGGGAGCAAACAGG
RNAcentral lists this ribosomal RNA (253 nucleotides) under uncultured bacterium. RNAcentral's name for it is "partial 16S ribosomal RNA". It matches the Rfam family "Bacterial small subunit ribosomal RNA", at positions 524 to 776 of the family's 1533-position model. The record is from RNAcentral.